This 497-nucleotide ribosomal RNA is filed under the name uncultured bacterium. RNAcentral describes it as "partial 16S ribosomal RNA". It matches the Rfam family "Bacterial small subunit ribosomal RNA", at positions 28 to 507 of the family's 1533-position model. The record is from RNAcentral.
GAUGAACGCUGGCGGCGUGCCUAAUACAUGCAAGUCGAGCGAACAGACGAGGAGCUUGCUCCUCUGACGUUAGCGGCGGACGGGUGAGUAACACGUGGAUAACCUACCUAUUAGACUGGGAUAACUUCGGGGAACAGGAGCUACUACCGGCUAAUAUAUUGAACCGCAUGGUUCAAUAGUGAAAGACGGUUUUGCUGUCACUUAUAGAUGGAUCCGCGCCGCAUUAGCUAGUUGGUAAGGUAACGGCUUACCAAGGCAACGAUGCGUAGCCGACCUGAGAGGGUGAUCGGCCACACUGGAACUGAGACACGGUCCAGACUCCUACGGGAGGCAGCAGUAGGGAAUCUUCCGCAAUGGGCGAAAGCUUGACGGAGCAACGCCGCGUGAGUGAUGAAGGUCUUCGGAUCGUAAAACUCUGUUAUUAGGGAAGAACAAAUGUGUAAGUAACUAUGCACGUCUUGACGGUACCUAAACAGAAAGCCACGGCUAACUACGUG